GACGAACGCUGGCGGCGUGCUUAACACAUGCAAGUCGAACGGAAAGGCCCUGCUUUUGUGGGGUGCUCGAGUGGCGAACGGGUGAGUAACACGUGAGUAACCUGCCCUUGACUUUGGGAUAACUUCAGGAAACUGGGGCUAAUACCGGAUAGGAGCUCCUGCUGCAUGGUGGGGGUUGGAAAGUUUCGGCGGUUGGGGAUGGACUCGCGGCUUAUCAACUUGUUGGUGGGGUAGUGGCUUACCAAGGCUUUGACGGGUAGCCGGCCUGAGAGGGUGACCGGCCACAUUGGGACUGAGAUACGGCCCAGAAUCCUACGGGAGGCAGCAGUGGGGAAUAUUGCACAAUGGGCGGAAGCCUGAUGCAGCAACGCCGCGUGCGGGAUGACGGCCUUCGGGUUGUAAACCGCUUUCGCCUGUGACGAAGCGUGAGUGACGGUAAUGGGUAAAGAAGCACCGGCUAACUACGUG
RNAcentral lists this ribosomal RNA (468 nucleotides) under uncultured bacterium. RNAcentral describes it as "partial 16S ribosomal RNA". It matches the Rfam family "Bacterial small subunit ribosomal RNA", at positions 28 to 507 of the family's 1533-position model. The record is from RNAcentral.